AGUGAACGCUGGCGGUAGGCCUAACACAUGCAAGUCGAACGGCAGCACAGUAAGAGCUUGCUCUUACGGGUGGCGAGUGGCGGACGGGUGAGGAAUACAUCGGAAUCUACUUUUUCGUGGGGGAUAACGUAGGGAAACUUACGCUAAUACCGCAUACGACCUACGGGUGAAAGCAGGGGAUCUUCGGACCUUGCGCGAUUGAAUGAGCCGAUGUCGGAUUAGCUAGUUGGCGGGGUAAAGGCCCACCAAGGCGACGAUCCGUAGCUGGUCUGAGAGGAUGAUCAGCCACACUGGAACUGAGACACGGUCCAGACUCCUACGGGAGGCAGCAGUGGGGAAUAUUGGACAAUGGGCGCAAGCCUGAUCCAGCCAUACCGCAUGGGUGAAGAAGGCCUUCGGGUUGUAAAGCCCUUUUGUUGGGAAAGAAAAGCAGCAGGUUAAUACCCCGCUGUUCUGACGGUACCCAAAGAAUAAGCACCGGCUAACUUCGU
This 491-nucleotide ribosomal RNA is filed under the name uncultured bacterium. RNAcentral's name for it is "partial 16S ribosomal RNA". It matches the Rfam family "Bacterial small subunit ribosomal RNA", at positions 29 to 506 of the family's 1533-position model. The record is from RNAcentral.